This 253-nucleotide ribosomal RNA is filed under the name uncultured bacterium. Its description in RNAcentral is "partial 16S ribosomal RNA". It matches the Rfam family "Bacterial small subunit ribosomal RNA", at positions 524 to 776 of the family's 1533-position model. The record is from RNAcentral.
UACGGAGGGUGCAAGCGUUAUCCGGAUUCACUGGGUUUAAAGGGUGCGUAGGCGGCUAUAUAAGUCAGUGGUGAAAGCCCGCAGCUCAACUGCGGGAUUGCCAUUGAAACUGCAUAGCUUGAAUCUGGUUGAAGUGGGCGGAAUACAUCAUGUAGCGGUGAAAUGCUUAGAUAUGAUGUAGAACACCGAUUGCGAAGGCAGCUCACUAAGCCAACAUUGACGCUGAGGCACGAAAGCGUGGGUAGCGAACAGG